This is a ribosomal RNA of 879 nucleotides. It matches the Rfam family "Bacterial small subunit ribosomal RNA", at positions 319 to 1504 of the family's 1533-position model.
AUGAACAAGGGGGAGGCUCACCCGGAGACCGCAGUAGAGAAUCUUGUGCAAUGAGCGAAAGCGUGACACAGAGAGGACGUACCCAGUCUGUCCAACUUAAGUGCCAGCAGACGCGGUAAAACUUAAGGGCUGGUCUCUAUAACCAAAAAGGCGUAAAGGAUGUGUCGGCCAAAAUUAUAAGAUAAGGUAAAGGGAAUUUUUCUGUAGCGGUAGAAUGUGUAAAUAGAAAAAAGAACCUCCAAGGUUAAAACCAAUUACUCUAAAAAAGGCUGAAACAUGAGAGGGUGGGAAGCAAACAGGAUUAGAGACCCUGGUAGUCCACCCCGGGAACUAUGAAGAUUAUGCGGGGCAGACCCUAAAGGAAAAUCUUCCGCCUGAGUAGUACGAUUGCAAAAUUAAAAUUCAAAAAGUUUGGCUGUUCACUUCUUAAAUUAGAGGAGCGUGUUGUUUAAUUCGAUGGUCCGCGUGUAACCUUACCCCAGCUUGAAACAAAACAGGUAUUGCAUGGCCGCCUUAAGCCCAUGUACAAAACAGGUACUGCAUGGCCGUCUUAAGGCCGCGUGUUUAACAAAAGGGUACGCAAUCCGCGCCUUAGCUCGGAGAAAGACAGGUCUCAUGGUCCUCAUGUUGGGGGAUUUAUGCGCUACAUUUUCUUAUAUAAUGGGAUGCUCUGGCAAAUCCCCAAAGUAGGGGCCCGAAAAGGGGCUGGAAUGCCCCCCGAAGUUGGAUUUAAUAGUAAUCGGGAAGUAGAGCGUCCCGGUGAAUUACUAUCAGUGUUGGUACAAAUCGCCCGUCGCCUUUACUUAAAAAGAUUAUUUGGACGCUUAAAGUGGCAACAAAGAUCUAUGAGGUAGAGAAAGUCGUAACAUGGUGAGAGGG